This 556-nucleotide long non-coding RNA is filed under the name Musa acuminata (dwarf banana). RNAcentral's name for it is "long non-coding RNA (MACU_LNC007903)". Lineage: Eukaryota; Viridiplantae; Streptophyta; Magnoliopsida; Zingiberales; Musaceae. The record is from RNAcentral.
CUCCAGUACGCUCUUUUUGAAAUCAUUAAGUGUUUCUUGCAGUCGGUUCUCAAUUCUGAUUUCCAAUGCUUCCAUUUGUGCUUUCACCGAGUUAUCAGUGGCCAUUGCGUAAGACUGCAAAUCUGUAAUCUCAACUCCUAUUUUUGGUAUCGGUCAAGGGCAUCAACACUAUCGAUGCGAAGUUGCCAAGGAGGUGGACGCCAAGGGCAGUGCUGCGGUCGCUGCGUUAGAGGAAGAGUAGCUACCCUGUGUUUGUGUCACUGCGUGAGAUGAGAGCACCAAGGCUGAAAGGCGACGGUUGCGACUGUUGUGACCCAAGGAAGCAAUCACCGAGCAACCGGGUUGAGGCUGCGGUGAUAGCAACCGACAACUGCAGCAGCGGAGGCAGAACAAGAGGGAGGUGGCGUUGAAGCGACCGGGGUUGAGGCUGCAGUGGUGGCAACCGGUGGCUGCGGCAACGAUGCAGAGCAAGGGGACUGCAGCAAUGGUGCAGAUCGAGGGGGUUGAGGUGAAGGCUGCGGUGGCUGGCAGCAGCAGUCGUUGCUGGCUAGAGCGC